RNAcentral lists this ribosomal RNA (490 nucleotides) under uncultured bacterium. RNAcentral describes it as "partial 16S ribosomal RNA". It matches the Rfam family "Bacterial small subunit ribosomal RNA", at positions 30 to 507 of the family's 1533-position model. The record is from RNAcentral.
AUUGAACGCUGGCGGCAGGCCUAACACAUGCAAGUCGAACGGUAACAGGAAGCAGCUUGCUGCUUCGCUGACGAGUGGCGGACGGGUGAGUAAUGUCUGGGAAACUGCCUGAUGGAGGGGGAUAACUACUGGAAACGGUAGCUAAUACCGCAUAACGUCGCAAGACCAAAGAGGGGGACCUUAGGGCCUCUUGCCAUCGGAUGUGCCCAGAUGGGAUUAGCUAGUAGGUGGGGUAACGGCUCACCUAGGCGACGAUCCCUAGCUGGUCUGAGAGGAUGACCAGCCACACUGGAACUGAGACACGGUCCAGACUCCUACGGGAGGCAGCAGUGGGGAAUAUUGCACAAUGGGCGCAAGCCUGAUGCAGCCAUGCCGCGUGUAUGAAGAAGGCCUUCGGGUUGUAAAGUACUUUCAGCGGGGAGGAAGGGAGUAAAGUUAAUACCUUUGCUCAUCGACGUUACCCGCAGAAGAAGCACCGGCUAACUCCGUG